AAGCCCGUAAAUGCACCUAUGUUGCUAAUUAUGUGUUUGAGAAAUUAGCAGCACGGCGCAUUUGCGCGCAA
This is a non-coding RNA of Onchocerca ochengi, 71 nucleotides long. NCBI's taxonomy places the organism in Eukaryota, Metazoa, Nematoda, Chromadorea, Rhabditida, Onchocercidae. The record is from Rfam.